AGUGAACGCUGGCGGUAGGCCUAACACAUGCAAGUCGAACGGCAGCACAGUAAGAGCUUGCUCUUACGGGUGGCGAGUGGCGGACGGGUGAGGAAUACAUCGGAAUCUACUUUUUCGUGGGGGAUAACGAAGGGAAACUUACGCUAAUACCGCAUACGACCUACGGGUGAAAGCAGGGGAUCUUCGGACCUUGCGCGAUUGAAUGAGCCGAUGUCGGAUUAGCUAGUUGGCGGGGUAAAGGCCCACCAAGGCGACGAUCCGUAGCUGGUCUGAGAGGAUGAUCAGCCACACUGGAACUGAGACACGGUCCAGACUCCUACGGGAGGCAGCAGUGGGGAAUAUUGGACAAUGGGCGCAAGCCUGAUCCAGCCAUACCGCGUGGGUGAAGAAGGCCUUCGGGUUGUAAAGCCCUUUUGUUGGGAAAGAAAAGCAGCAGGUUAAUACCCCGCUGUUCUGACGGUACCCAAAGAACAAGCACCGGCUAACUUCGUG
This 492-nucleotide ribosomal RNA is filed under the name uncultured bacterium. RNAcentral's name for it is "partial 16S ribosomal RNA". It matches the Rfam family "Bacterial small subunit ribosomal RNA", at positions 29 to 507 of the family's 1533-position model. The record is from RNAcentral.